UUUAACUGAAGAGUUUGAUCAUGGCUCAGAUUGAACGCUGGCGGCAGGCUUAACACAUGCAAGUCGAGCGGUAACAGGGGAGCUUGCUCCUGCUGACGAGCGGCGGACGGGUGAGUAACGCGUAGGAAUCUACCUAGUAGAGGGGGACAACAUGUGGAAACGCAUGCUAAUACCGCAUACGCCCUAAGGGGGAAAGGAGGGGACUUUUCGGAGCCUUCCGCUAUUAGAUGAGCCUGCGUAAGAUUAGCUAGUUGGUAGGGU
This 261-nucleotide ribosomal RNA is filed under the name Marinomonas sp. UCMA 3892. Its description in RNAcentral is "partial 16S ribosomal RNA". It matches the Rfam family "Bacterial small subunit ribosomal RNA", at positions 1 to 258 of the family's 1533-position model. The record is from RNAcentral. Lineage: Bacteria; Pseudomonadati; Pseudomonadota; Gammaproteobacteria; Oceanospirillales; Oceanospirillaceae.